This 95-nucleotide small nuclear RNA is filed under the name Mantoniella antarctica. Its description in RNAcentral is "partial Dictyostelium signal recognition particle". The record is from RNAcentral. Lineage: Eukaryota; Viridiplantae; Chlorophyta; Mamiellophyceae; Mamiellales; Mamiellaceae.
CAAAUAAAUUUCUCCAUCGACAAUCAGGGGUUCCUUAAGGUCUGGGCAAGAGAGUUGGACAGCAACAAACACAAGGUGUGGGUCAGCAACGGAGG